Molecule: transfer RNA, 75 nt
Filed under: Candidatus Nanopusillus acidilobi
Lineage: Archaea; Nanobdellati; Nanobdellota; Candidatus Nanoarchaeia; Nanoarchaeales; Nanopusillaceae
Also listed under: 1 other name
Description: tRNA-Met
Rfam family: tRNA
About the family: Transfer RNA (tRNA) molecules are approximately 80 nucleotides in length. Their secondary structure includes four short double-helical elements and three loops (D, anti-codon, and T loops).
Source: RNAcentral
AGCGGGGUAGGGCAGCUAGGAGUGCCCGGGGGGCUCAUAACCCCCAGGUCGGAGGUUCAAAUCCUCCCCCCGCUA